RNAcentral lists this transfer RNA (59 nucleotides) under Edaphobacter modestus. It matches the Rfam family "tRNA", at positions 15 to 71 of the family's 71-position model. Rfam says of the family: Transfer RNA (tRNA) molecules are approximately 80 nucleotides in length. Lineage: Bacteria; Pseudomonadati; Acidobacteriota; Terriglobia; Terriglobales; Acidobacteriaceae. The record is from Rfam by way of RNAcentral.
GCGCGUAGAGUGCCACCUUCACACGGUGGAAGUCGUAGGUUCGAAUCCUGCUGCGCCCA